RNAcentral lists this ribosomal RNA (397 nucleotides) under uncultured bacterium. Its description in RNAcentral is "bacterial SSU rRNA". It matches the Rfam family "Bacterial small subunit ribosomal RNA", at positions 9 to 407 of the family's 1533-position model. The record is from RNAcentral.
GAGUUUGAUCCUGGCUCAGAUUGAACGCUGGCGGCAUGCUUUACACAUGCAAGUCGAACGGGGUGAGGGGGCAACUCUUCAUUCAGUGGCGAACGGGUGAGUAAUGCAUCGGAACGUGUCCCGUAGUGGGGGAUAACGCCGCGAAAGCGGCGCUAAUACCGCAUAUGCUCUACGGAGGAAAGCAGGGGACCUGAAAGGGCCUUGUGCUGGGGGAGCGGCCGAUGUCCGAUUAGCUAGUUGGUGGGGUAAAGGCCUACCAAGGCAACGAUCGGUAGCUGGUCUGAGAGGAUGAUCAGCCACACUGGGACUGAGACACGGCCCAGACUCCUACGGGAGGCAGCAGUGGGGAAUUUUGGACAAUGGGGGGCAACCCUGAUCCAGCCAUGCCGCGUGCGGG